RNAcentral lists this long non-coding RNA (2093 nucleotides) under Nicotiana benthamiana. RNAcentral describes it as "long non-coding RNA (NBEN_LNC032402)". The record is from RNAcentral. Lineage: Eukaryota; Viridiplantae; Streptophyta; Magnoliopsida; Solanales; Solanaceae.
GCCUUAACACAUACUGAUUUGACCCGUCAAUGGCCAAAUCUAUAAAUUAUGGCAUACUUAACUUUAAACCAGGCCAGUAUUAUACUAAAUCACUUAUAAGCAAGAAAAGCAUAAAUAACAGCUGAAAGAGCUAAGGUAAAACAAAAGGGAUUUUCAGUUCAUGCAAAUCCAGAUUUCAACAUGCUAAAAGAUUACAUCACAAAGAAAUACCCCAAACACUCGUGUUAAUACACUUGCAAUCAAAAUUGUCUAAAGUCAAAGAUUAAUCAAACAAUAUCAAAAGAACACCCAUUCAUUUCACACCUCUUUGCAAAUUUUGACAUUUUUAUUACUUAUGUACAAGGAAACUACAUAGGAGAUCCGAAGCAGUACCUUGAAAAGUGAGAUUCAUCAAAUAAAAUAGGGAAACAAAUAACUGAGAAUCCAAAGAAGGAACAACAGAAGGGAUCAGUCAAACAAUAACAGUAAACACAACACAACAAAUCCAGUGAAUCAAACUUCAGACUCCAAAACAAACAGCUGAAACCAGAAAAUCCAGCCGAUGGACCAAGCAAACCCUCUAUCUUCAAACCAUGUUCAAAACUUGUGAGGAAUGAGAGAUUUUUUCGAGUUUUUUUCAAAGAUAUUGGAGUAUGUACUUUUUAGAGAAAAUAGAGCUUUUCAGUAAAAGUGCUGAUGAAAAAUAUGUAUGAAAAUCUCUGUAUUCUCUAUGGGAAAAUGCACCAUAUAUAGGGAUAUAUAAUGCCCUAUGCUGAGAAAUUAUUCCUUAGCCAAAACAGCAUAUUCCCAACAGAAUUGGGACAACUGAUUUUCCCCCAUUGGCUUUAGUACUUUGUACUAAUCAAAUGAGACCAAUUACACCUUUUUCUAGAGUAUUCUGAUAUUUCCAAUUAAGAAAAAUCCUAAUUUACCCUUUUGAAACCUGCUUAUUACAGCCUCUAUCUAAAUUUUUUUGUUCACUUAGGUCCCUAGGGCUUCUAAUAGUUGGCAAAUCAGAGCUAACACUAUAAGGCCAAUGUUGCUACACACAAGAAGAUUAAAAGACGAGACUAUUGAGCAAAAUAAUUGAAUUAAAAAAUCACUGAUAUGAACAGAAUCCGAAAACUGGAACAAUCAUAGAAGAAACGAUUUAAACCAUAAAAUGAAACAAACAUGAAGAAAAACUUUGAAACUAAUAUUAACACGAACUUCAAAGGAAAACUAUUAAACCUAACAAAAUUGAUGAAACUUAGCAAACAGAAAAAGAAUUUUAAUCAGGCGGCAAAUUUGACGGUAGAACCACUUAAAACAAACUUUAAUUUUAAAAAUAAACACGACUUAACUAUCCUACAUGCCUCGAAUUUUAUCAAAACAAAUAACUUUAGAAAACUUAAAUCACCGAAAUUCAGAUUAACCCAGUAACCAAAACAAAAUUGACACCCAAGUAAUACAAGUAAAAAGACCUAUUUAAACAAGAAAAGAAAAAGCAGGAACAAAAUGAAUUUGGCCGGAACAGCUUGGACAGAAGAGUGAAUCGACAUGCUAACUGAAACCAUACGCAAGGAAAUAUACAUAAAGAAAAAGAGAUGGAGAUGAUACUCAGAAAAAGACAGAAUGGCAAAGAGAAUUACCUAAAAAAUUAAAAAAGACCUUCAAAACGGCACUUGAUUGAUUGUAGGGUCUAAUCCUCUGAAAUGAACCAAAAUUAAUGCUAAUCAGUUGUUCUUGCCAAGAACAAGUUGACUAGCAUGCAUUUCGGACUACUUCAAGCUUGGAAACCAAAUCAACUAGGGCUUCUGACUUUUUCGUCGGUUUGAAAUUUGGGAUUUUUGGCAGGGGUAUUUGGGAAGUCAGUAAUGGAAUCGUGAUGCGGGAAGGUCAAGGAUGAUGGGGUUUGAUAUUGGGUUAAUUUGGAAAGUUAGGGUUUUGACCGGAAAUUCGAACUAAUCUGAAGGUAUUCAAGGGAAACUAGUCGGAGAUUGGAAAAUGGAGGUCAUGAGGGUUAUGCGGUGUGAAGGUGGGGGUGAUUAGAUUCCGGCAGGCGGUUUGUGGCGGAGGUAGCAAUGGAAAGCAAGGGAGGCUAGCUUGGUUAGAGAGACUGAGUGAGAAUGAGG